AAGGAUCAUUGUCGUGACCCUGACCAAAACAGACCGCGCACGCGUCAUCCAAUCCGUCGGCGACGGCACCGUCCGUCGCUCGGCCAAUGCCUCGACCACCUCCCCUCCUCGGAGCGGGUGGGGGCUCGGGGUAAAAGAACCCACGGCGCCGAAGGCGUCAAGGAACACUGUGCCUAACCCGGGGGCAUGUCUAGCUUGCUAGCCGUCCCUCGUGUUGCAAAGCUAUUUAAUCCACACGACUCUCGGCAACGGAUAUCUCGGCUCUCGCAUCGAUGAAGAACGUAGCGAAAUGCGAUACCUGGUGUGAAUUGCAGAAUCCCGCGAACCAUCGAGUCUUUGAACGCAAGUUGCGCCCGAGGCCACUCGGCCGAGGGCACGCCUGCCUGGGCGUCACGCCAAAACACGCUCCCAACCACCCUCAACGGGAUUCGGGAUGCGGCAUCUGGUCCCUCGUCUCUCAAGGGACGGUGGACCGAAGAUUGGGCUGCCGGCGUACCGCGCCGGACACAGCGCAUGGUGGGCGUCCUCGCUUUAUCAAUGCAGUGCAUCCGGCGCGCAGCUGGCAUUAUGGCCUUUGAACGACCCAACAAACGAAGCGCACGUCGCUUCGACCGCGACCCCAGGUCAGGCGGGACUACCCGCUGAGUUUAA
This 651-nucleotide ribosomal RNA is filed under the name Triticeae environmental sample. RNAcentral's name for it is "eukaryotic LSU rRNA". The stretch from base 238 to 393 matches the Rfam family "5.8S ribosomal RNA". Lineage: Eukaryota; Viridiplantae; Streptophyta; Magnoliopsida; Poales; Poaceae. The record is from RNAcentral.